GAUGUGCUUGUGCGACGGGGCGUGACCUCUUGUGCCUCUGCCAUCGCCGUGAGAAGAACGUGCCCCAGCUAGCUCGCUGGUCCCUGGAGGAAGAGAGACAUGUGGCACAGACCCGGACCCAAACGGCAGCCUGGAGCCCAAGCCAGCUGAUCCCAGCCGACAUCAGCCAAACCGUGCUGCUCUACGGGGUCUGAGUAGAGGCUCAGCGGUAUGUCGCCGAAGCUUCCAGCCGUCCGGUCCCAGCAGUAGCUAUGGACAUACAAGUCCACCCUCCAGCCCCUCUUGGAAACUUACGCAAGAGGAAGGUGUCCGGGAAGAGGCGGCCUCACGGGAAUCCUUGUCCCAGGAGACUAUUCCUUCCUCGUGUGAGUCUCAAUAGUGAUGUCAUAGUCUCUGUGACUCACCUCUCCCAGGAGGCUUUAGUGUGUUAGUAAUAACAGUCAUUAGCGUUCACCUGGGGUUUUAUAAGCAGGAGGUGACAGUGACUUGCAACUAUCUUCUGAGGUUUGGGAAAGGCCAGGAUUAUGACGUCCAUUUUGCCAAGAGGAAAUAAAAAACAGACAAGCAGGUCAGCAUGAGAACGAAUGCUGUCCCACCCAGGAACAUCCAGAGUGCACCAAGAAUAGACUGAGGGCUGGGGGUCGAUUUGGGAGAAGCAGCCAGGGUUUCUUCUUCAUGAAUAUGUUUCACCGCAGAGUUCCAUUGAAUUGGAGAAAUUACAACUCCGAUGAUAGGCUCCGUGGUUGGUUGGGGUCCUGACAUCACCUAUCCCCGUGCCGUGAAGGUUUCGGGUUUUGUUCUCAUUUGACUUUACGCUGAGAGCCAAGUCUUAGCCAGAGCAGGAUAUAUAUUUUAAAAAAAUAAAAAUAAAAAUAAAAACCCAUGUGCCCAGCUUUCCUUUAAAGCAGUCGUUCUCAAACUGCUCAAUACCAGAAGGGUCAGGAGUGCAUGUCGAAACACAGAAUGCUGAGCUCCACUCCAGGGGUCCUGACUCGGCAUUUCUAACGAAUUCCCACCUGGUGUUGAUGCUGCUGGUCCGGGGACCACACUUGAAGAGCUGCUAGUCUCAGUGUUUUAAGCUGGCUCCUGGAUACGGUGACCUCCUCCCAAGUCCGAGGAGCUGGCUCUUUGGCCCGGCUGUGCCACGGCCCGGCCCCGUCCACCCUCACACCAGGACUAGUCCGUCUCUGCUUUGCGGUCUGCGUAGGCACACGGGGACAUUGUGGCCCGUGUCAAAAGGCCACGAAGGCCUGAAAGUUACUGUAGCAGAAUCGGAAACCUUACCAGGGUCCCUGCUAGCUUUUAGGAGAAGCACUUGAAGCUUCAGGGAAGAGAAGUUUACAUCCUGGGAAAACCCCGGCUCCAGUAGCCAAGCUUUGAACAGGUGGCAGCAGCCGGGUGUCUCCCCCACCCCCUUCCAAAGGCCAUGGGACUCCUGGCCAUCAUCUGUGAGGGGCUCCGUGUACUCUCCACACUGCCUGGUCUGUGCCUCAGCCCACAAUCUCUUUCUUUCUUGAGCCUUACAGGAGAAGGUGAGAAGGGCUAAGAUAUGCGUUCCCUGUCACAAUUAAAAUAAAGUCCAAACUCCUGACCAUGGCCUGCCUGGCGCUCAGACCUCCUCUCCCUGCUCUCCAGCUCAUCAGCUCCACUCUGACCCUCUGGCCUCCCUGCUGUCCCUCCAACACCAAUCUUUUUCCGUCCUGAAUCUCUGCGUUCCCGCUGUCUGCUAAGCCAAGGAUCCAGAUGGGACAGGAGACUGGUGGUUCAGGCGGCCCCUCUCCAGAGAGAGCCUCCUGUUCUCCUUCCAUAAGGCAGCCCCACUUCCCACCCAUUCCUUCUGUCCCUAUCUUCAGAGGACUUGUCACCAUCUGACACCAUCUCUAGGAUGGAAGUUCCAGGAAGGCCACAACCUCGUCUGCCUUUCCCAGCCGUGUCCCCAGCACCUGGACCAUGCCUGGCACAUCACACGGGUUCAAUAAAGAUUUAUGGAAUGAAUCUGUGGCCUCUGCCAGAUAUACUAUGAGAGGCAAGGUCUAGAAUCCUUAAGCGACAUACCCCAGACCUUGAUUCUAAAGUCCAGAGUCUGGCUCUGGGUUUACUGCCUCACAGCUUGUUCAGAUGGGAAGAACCGGGAUCACAGAUGUCACCGCUACUGUCACUCUGGACAAAGCCCUCAACUUGUGUUGCCCUGACCUGCCUCACCUACCAAAUGGCUGGAUAACAUCGGUGUCGCCUGCCCCCAAGACUGUGUCAAGGCUCAGAUGAGAUGGGAUGUGAAGCAGUGGCUGCCAGUCCUAUGUUGAUAUGCCCUCAGAUCAUUUGCUAUUUCUGGGCACAUGGGCUCUCCCUGUGCUUCCACUCCAGGCUUACCCGCAUCUGUGCAUCAGAGGACACCCCCAGGCUACUGGAACUGCUUUGGGUCUGCCCCGUAUGUCCCACUCCUGCAGCCCUUAACCAAAGAUGGAGGAGUAUAGGCUAACAACUCUCCAACUCUCUCAUCUCUGAUGGGGACAUGUAAGUGUGACCCAUACUGUGCCAACAGUACCCUCCUAGGGACUUGGCUUGACAUCUAGUCUUGUUUGUUCUUCUACCCUUCCCAGGCCUGUUUCUACACCCUGAGUACCUGUAAAACACCGGGAACACUUCCUAAUGAGUCACUUUCACUGGAAUAUUCCGUCACGAUCUGCUUCUGGGGAACCCAGCUUAAAACCGGAACAUGUUGAUUUCUUGACCGCGGCUCAUUUUCCCUGUCAUUCCAACUCUUUUUCCUGCGUCAGGAAAGACUCUUUAAUAGAAUACAGCCACAGAUACAGCAACAAGCACUCUUCCCAUUGGAUGAGAAGCAAUGGAAGACAAGGAGCCAUCAAGGCUUUACAUCUGUUGGAGCAGAAUGUAGAAUUUUGGCUUUGAAUUUUCUUGAGAAAAGACAGGGCAACAAGGUAAGCUUCUAACUCUUGUGCCCAUAAGUGUGUGGCCCUACUUACAGGCUCCCCACUUGGGGGCUCUCUUCAGAUAAACCUCUGCAGGAGCCAGAGUGGAGACCAGUGGUCCCUGAAUGACUGGCACACACAGGCUGGACCACAUCACCUCCCCCAUUUAGAGCAAGGGGACCUUGUAGCAAAGUGGUGGGGGUGGGUGGGUAGGCUGAGUCCACGUGAUGAAUGAGUGGCCAUGUGUCCUCAAAAAGACUUUUAAAGAGUCACUUCUCCAUUCCCUGGGGCUUUCUCAUCCCAAGACUUCCCAUCUUUGGAGAUCAAGUUCAGAUGUUGGGGGUGGGGAGGCAUCCCUCUUUCCAUCCAAGGGUUUCAGGCAGAAAAAAAUGGAAUGGCAUUUAAUAACUUCCCUCACUGCACUAUAAAGACAAUGGCAGGGUUAGGUGUUCCUGAGCUCUCUGGGAUUUUAUUAGUUUGUUAUACUUCAAAGGGCUCUGGUGGUGCUGCCAUAACCUACUUCGGAGGAAAACAUUUAUUAUUAACAUUGGUUUAACACUUAACUUUCUAGGGUAUUUGUGGAUGGCACAGUCAUACAUCUGCCUUUUUAUAGUGCUUUGCAGCAGAGCACAAGACCUCUGGCUGACACCUCAUACAUCAUCAAAAUUAAGACCUCUAGGCAAACAGGGUAAAGUAGGGGGGGGGUGGGGUGGGACAGCAACUUGGGAUGACUCAAAUGGUUUCCCAGUUAACUUUCCUUUAGAGAGAGACUGUUUCCAUUAAGGAGCAAAUUAUUCUUAACGUUAAGACACCCUUGUUUCCUUGGCAACCCACAACAACUUGAAAGGAAGGGUCCACCGUGGCCCUACAGCCAAGUGAUGCCUCCUACCUGGCUGGCGGCUGGUGGAGAUUAACCCAGACGUGGGGUCAGCCAGCCAGGGAUCAACCCCCCACCUCCUUGGCAUUCGACCCCCCGGCUCUCCUGUGCUAAAGCCAGAAGAAAUCUGGAAAGCAGCAGGUCAGGAUGACAGCAAGCUCUCCAUCUUUUAUAAACAUAAACUGUAUCCUCAUCAUGUCAGAACCCUUGCUGGAGACUCGGAAAAUGAUAGCAGAAAACUAUCAACAAAAGAAGAGAAUGAGUCAUUUCUUUUUUACUGACUCCCCUUCUUGGUCCAGCACUGGCUGACGUUUGGCCAUUGCUUUGGCCUGUCUAUAAAACACAAGGGACCAUAAUUGUAUGGUUUCAUAUGCUCUCAUGCCCACAAGCCUUUCUCACUCAAAUUCGCCAAAUGGGGCAAGCAAGGAGUGAGGUAUUUUCGGGGGUUCUUUAGUAGAGAUCAUGUUGGCCCAACUUGACGUGGGUCAUAAACUCUACUUUGUACAAAGGAUCCUGAUCUUUAUUUUGAGAGGAACAACAAUUAUAGUCCCUAAGACCUGAGACCAACAGCAUUUUUGAGGAGGGAAAAGAAAAGAACCGUGAAGACGAAGAUGUGCUGAGAAGUGGGCGA
Molecule: long non-coding RNA, 4438 nt
Organism: Neofelis nebulosa (Clouded leopard)
Lineage: Eukaryota; Metazoa; Chordata; Mammalia; Carnivora; Felidae
Exons: 3
Source: RefSeq, a predicted model, not a curated record